Molecule: ribosomal RNA, 400 nt
Filed under: uncultured bacterium
Lineage: Bacteria
Description: bacterial SSU rRNA
Rfam family: Bacterial small subunit ribosomal RNA
Source: RNAcentral
UAGGGAAUCUUCCACAAUGGACGCAAGUCUGAUGGAGCAACGCCGCGUGAGUGAAGAAGGGUUUCGGCUCGUAAAGCUCUGUUGUUAAAGAAGAACGUGGGUAAGAGUAACUGUUUACCCAGUGACGGUAUUUAACCAGAAAGCCACGGCUAACUACGUGCCAGCAGCCGCGGUAAUACGUAGGUGGCAAGCGUUAUCCGGAUUUAUUGGGCGUAAAGCGAGCGCAGGCGGUCUUUUAAGUCUAAUGUGAAAGCCUUCGGCUCAACCGAAGAAGUGCAUUGGAAACUGGGAGACUUGAGUGCAGAAGAGGACAGUGGAACUCCAUGUGUAGCGGUGAAAUGCGUAGAUAUAUGGAAGAACACCAGUGGCGAAGGCGGCUGUCUGGUCUGCAACUGACGCU